GCUACAAGAAAAUACAGAUUUUUUCCCUUGGUCAUAAACAUGAAUUUGACAUUGGUACAUAGGUAUACAAGUUAUCAUAUAUAAAAUACAAAAGAAAAUGAAUGGAUAAGGCUGAUAAAAACUCACACAAUAAUCUUGAAAAUUGUCAAAUGGUCUUAAGCAAUGAACAAAGUGUCCAUGUCUUUAAACAAAACCGAGACAGC
This 203-nucleotide long non-coding RNA is filed under the name Mytilus galloprovincialis (Mediterranean mussel). Lineage: Eukaryota; Metazoa; Mollusca; Bivalvia; Mytilida; Mytilidae. The record is from RNAcentral.